AAGCAAGUUCACCUAGAGGUUGCCCUGGGGUGAGGGCUGGAGGCAGGAGGGGCCUGGGAUCUGAGCGGUUUAGAUCUCCAUCCAGGAUGAAGGGAAUUUCCUGAAGCUGGCUUUGCUGUCCCUCAUUCCUUUUAUGAAACACUGGACUCUUCCUGCAUCCAUAAAGAUGAAGACAUUCCUUUGCAGGGAUUUAAUUUUGGGGCUGCAUGCCUGGCCUCUGAGAAAGCCCAGGCUUCCUCCUCCUUUUGAAUCUAACUGGGGGCGGCUUUGUGCACUCCAGACCAGACCGCAUUCCCCUGAAUGCCCCUGGAAUCGCUUACUCACACUGAAAUCCGCUGCCUCAGGGCUUUCCAGGCAGAAGUAAGCCUUCUUUUCAGGGGCAAUCAGGCAGCAGCCUGGAGCAGUGAGGGAAGGGGGGGACUGCCCCCCACACACACAACCUGCACCAUGGGUCUCUAUAGACAGUGCAACUCAGGGGCCUCCCCUCUCCCUGACCCCAGGCAUUGGGUCCUGGGGGCGGCAUGCAGGCCUCAGGAGAACCCAAAGGACAACGUCUGCCAUCUGGAAAUGGGGAAACUAAGGCUGGGGAUGACACCAGAUCUACUUGUGUCAAUAGGUGAGUUUAACCCAGACAGAUUUCCUGAAUCACCACCCAGAGCCCCCCGCUACCUUUUGGCUGGGGUGGCCUUUGGUCCUUGCCAGGAGCUAAUAUUGUGCCAUCCCUGACUUGGAAUCUGGGUGUAGAAGGUAACUAUACUCAGAGGAGCGGGUCCGCGGGUGAGACACGUCCACCAAAGGUCCUUCUUGGGGAGAUGGCAUGAGAGCUUGAAUUUCUAAAGGCUGCAUUUGGUGGAGUGUGGGGGCUGGGAGGGUUGAUGCUGCCGCUGUGCAUGGCAGGUCUGAGGGGCUUUUCUUCAGCAAACAUUCAUUGUGAGCCCACCAUGUACAGGGUGCUUGGGAUUCGGAGGUGGGGGACAGGGGGAUAGGGUAGACCAAGCCUGUCGUGCCCUGCCAAUCCCCGCAGCGUGAGUGGUAGAAGGAGUGUGGGCAACGGAUCCAGAAGAGGUGACUCAGUCCCCACACUUCUGCUUAUCUGCCCUGUGUCCUUGGGCAGGUGAUCUGUUCUGCAUCGCAGUUUCCCCAUCUGCAACUUGUGUGUGACGCUAAAACCUGCCUCUCGGGGCACUUUGGAGGGAUGAAUGGACAUUACAUAGGUUAAAAAUUGCCCUGCCUCCUCUCGCCUAUCACCACAUCUGUAAAUUGAGGUACGACUCUGCCACAUAUCCAAGGUCGCUCCGAUUGCACAGUGGUUGCACACAUUGCCUUCAGGGUCUGACCAUCCUGGAUUCAAAAUCCAACUCUGCCACGUACUGCGUGGCCUGGUGCCUGGUACAGAGCUUCUUUGGGCCCUCAAAUUCCCAGCAGUAAACUGGAGAUGGCAAGAGUAGUACCUAGCUCAGACUGUGGGUGUGAUACUUAAAUGAUGUAAUUUAAAAAUAAAAGUUAUGACAGUUUCA
This 1517-nucleotide long non-coding RNA is filed under the name Sus scrofa (pig). RNAcentral's name for it is "lncRNA (ENSSSCG00015077704.1)". The record is from RNAcentral. Lineage: Eukaryota; Metazoa; Chordata; Mammalia; Artiodactyla; Suidae.